Molecule: ribosomal RNA, 500 nt
Filed under: uncultured bacterium
Lineage: Bacteria
Description: partial 16S ribosomal RNA
Rfam family: Bacterial small subunit ribosomal RNA
Source: RNAcentral
GACGAACGCUGGCGGCGUGCUUAACACAUGCAAGUCGAACGGGUCUGCCCUGUUUUUUGCGGGGUGGGUCAGUGGCGAACGGGUGAGUAACACGUGAGUAACCUGCCCCUCACUUCUGGAUAACCGCUUGAGAGGGUGGCUAAUACGGGGUGUUCUGGCUGUGCCGCAUGGUGUGGCUGGGAAAGAUUCACUUUUGUGGUGUUUUGGUGGGGGAUGGGCUCGCGGCCUAUCAGCUUGUUGGUGGGGUGAUGGCCUGCCAAGGCUUUGACGGGUAACCGGCCUGGGAGGGUGGGCGGUCACACUGGGGCUGAGAUACGGCCCAGACUCCUGCGGGAGGCAGCAGUGGGGGGUAUUGCACAAUGGGCGGAAGCCUGAUGCAGCGACGUCGCGUGAGGGAUGGAGGCCUUCGGGUUGUGAACCUCUUUCGCCGGUGAAGAAGGUCCUGCUCUUUGUGGUGGGGUUGACGGUAGCCGGGUUAUGAAGCGCCGGCUAACUACGUG